GACGAACGCUGGCGGCGUGCCUAAUACAUGCAAGUAGAACGCUGAAGAGAGGAGCUUGCUCUUCUUGGAUGAGUUGCGAACGGGUGAGUAACGCGUAGGUAACCUGCCUGGUAGCGGGGGAUAACUAUUGGAAACGAUAGCUAAUACCGCAUGAUAUUAAUUGUUGCAUGAUAAUUAAUUGAAAGAUGCAAUUGCAUCACUACCAGAUGGACCUGCGUUGUAUUAGCUAGUUGGUGAGGUAACGGCUCACCAAGGCGACGAUACAUAGCCGACCUGAGAGGGUGAUCGGCCACACUGGGACUGAGACACGGCCCAGACUCCUACGGGAGGCAGCAGUAGGGAAUCUUCGGCAAUGGACGAAAGUCUGACCGAGCAACGCCGCGUGAGUGAAGAAGGUUUUCGGAUCGUAAAGCUCUGUUGUAAGAGAAGAACGAGUGUGAGAGU
RNAcentral lists this ribosomal RNA (444 nucleotides) under Streptococcus sanguinis. Its description in RNAcentral is "bacterial SSU rRNA". It matches the Rfam family "Bacterial small subunit ribosomal RNA", at positions 28 to 462 of the family's 1533-position model. The record is from RNAcentral. Lineage: Bacteria; Bacillati; Bacillota; Bacilli; Lactobacillales; Streptococcaceae.